Molecule: ribosomal RNA, 804 nt
Filed under: uncultured bacterium
Lineage: Bacteria
Description: bacterial SSU rRNA
Rfam family: Bacterial small subunit ribosomal RNA
Source: RNAcentral
AGAGUUUGAUCCUGGCUCAGGAUGAACGCUGGCGGCGUGCUUAACACAUGCAAGUCGAACGAAGCACUUUAUUACGAUUUCUUCGGAAUGACGAUUUAGUGACUGAGUGGCGGACGGGUGAGUAACGCGUGGGUAACCUGCCUUAUACAGGGGGAUAACAGUUAGAAAUGACUGCUAAUACCGCAUAAGCGCACAGGAUUGCAUGAUCUGGUGUGAAAAACUCCGGUGGUAUAAGAUGGACCCGCGUCUGAUUAGCUGGUUGGUGAGGUAACGGCCCACCAAGGCGACGAUCAGUAGCCGACCUGAGAGGGUGACCGGCCACAUUGGGACUGAGACACGGCCCAAACUCCUACGGGAGGCAGCAGUGGGGAAUAUUGCACAAUGGGGGAAACCCUGAUGCAGCGACGCCGCGUGAGCGAAGAAGUAUUUCGGUAUGUAAAGCUCUAUCAGCAGGGAAGAAAAAAAUGACGGUACCUGACUAAGAAGCCCCGGCUAACUACGUGCCAGCAGCCGCGGUAAUACGUAGGGGGCAAGCGUUAUCCGGAUUUACUGGGUGUAAAGGGAGCGCAGGCGGUGCGGCAAGUCUGAUGUGAAAGCCCGGGGCUCAACCCCGGGACUGCAUUGGAAACUGUCGUACUUGAGUAUCGGAGAGGUAAGUGGAAUUCCUAGUGUAGCGGUGAAAUGCGUAGAUAUUAGGAGGAACACCAGUGGCGAAGGCGGCUUACUGGACGAUAACUGACGCUGAGGCUCGAAAGCGUGGGGAGCAAACAGGAUUAGAUACCCUGGUAGUCCACGCCGUAAACG